Molecule: long non-coding RNA, 2624 nt
Filed under: Mus caroli (Ryukyu mouse)
Lineage: Eukaryota; Metazoa; Chordata; Mammalia; Rodentia; Muridae
Description: predicted gene 16130 (MGP_CAROLIEiJ_G0004200.1)
Source: RNAcentral
CUGUUUGCUUAGGGAAGGCAGAAUAGGAUAGAUGCUAAGAGCUGGGGAAGCCAAGGACUUGGGGAUUGCAGCCUUGGAGGCCAUCCCUCCGGGGAUGUCUCUCUCUGCCCCUGUAGUUCAUAGGGCCUCAACCUUAGAGGUCUGGUCUCUUUCUGCCUGGCUCACACACUGUCCUUGUGUACUAAGGGGCUUCCUGACAGAAGAGGGCUCAGAUCACUAUGGAAGCUCUCAGUACUUGAGAGAGAGCCUUUCUUCCAAGAUCUGCUCCAUCUUCUCGAUCACCUGGUGACAAGGUGACAAAGUGACAAGGCUGGGCUGGCUUGAGACCUCACAACUUCUAGGCUGCUGCCCCUCCUCCACAGCUGGCCCCAGCACCUGCCUUCUCCUGGUGCCGUACAGUGUCCUCCAGGGCCUUCAUCUUCUGCAGCUUGUCCUGGUAGCGCCUCAGCUGUGCAGCCUGUGGCUGCUGAGCCUGGUACAGAAGCAGCAGCUCCUUCUCUCGGUCAUUCUUCUGCAGGGUGGAGGCCAAUGGGUACAUGAGUUUCCCCAGCCACGAGGGCACACGAGGGAUCCAUGAGAGUUACUCCAGCCACGAGGGCACACGUGGGAUUCUGUUGAAGCCUGAACUGGCCGGCUUCCCUCCCCACUGUGGACUUUCUCUCUGCUCCAGAUACUUCCCAGGACUGUGCCCGGAGGAGGAGCUGUCCCUCUGUCCAGCCAACCCUAGCUCACCCGAAUCAGCUCAUUUUGCAGGUGCUGCACCCUGUCUCGCAGCCUCUUCAUAUCCAGUUCAUUCAGCAGUAACUUCUGCUUCAUGGACACUGCUGGGGUGGGAAGAAGCUGGCUCAAGAAUAGGUGGAGGUGGCUCCUCAGCAUGCCAUUCUCCUCCUCCAGGAUGUUGGCCUGCUUCUUCAGUGCCAGGAUGUCCUCUGCCAUCUUCUGCAUGGCCCUCCGAAGGAGUCUCUUAGACUGCCCACCAGAGCCACUUGGGGGCUGGACUGCCAUCAGCUUCCCAAAUAGCCCAGCAUCCAAGAAGAGACACCAAGAAGACACUGAAGACUCAGGGAUGCGACGUGACGGGUGCUUCCUGUGGCCGUCCACUGAACCCUCACCGUCCGUACAACCCAGGUUAAACCCUUUCUUCCUGAAGAUGCUUUUGUCUGGAUUUCACACAGCAACGAGAAAUGCAACGGAUGCAUUAGGUCCUGUGGUCUUUCCAGGCAGGGAAAACCCAAUGGCAUCUGGCAGUGACCGAGAAGGGCUGGAUGGGUGUCUUAGUUAGGUCUCUACUGCUGUGAUAAAAGCACUGUGGCCAAAAGCAGCUUGGGGAGAAAAGGGUUUAUUUCAGCUUACAUUGUCCAGGGAAAUCAGGGCAGGAAUUCAAGGCAGAAACUUGGAGGCAGAGCUGAUACAGAGGCCGUGGAAGAGUGUUUCAUGAAGGAGGCUUGCUCGGCCUGCUUUCGUAUAGAGCUCAGAUCACCUGCCCAGUGGUCACUGCCCCCUGUGGAAGGGUCUUUCCAUAUCAAUCAUUAAUCAAGAUGAUACCCCACAGACUUGCCUAUAGGCCAAUCUGGAGGCAUGCUCUCAAUUAAGACUCCUUCCCAGUUAUGUCUUAGAUUUGUAUCAAACUGACCAAAAGCCAGACAGUACAGAGGGUAGCUCGCUUUGCCUGGGGGUAUUCUCCUUGAGUGUCAGGGGAUGGCCCUUGCCCAUCUCAAACCCAGGACAAUCUUAUCAAGCUUGCCUAGUGUCCUGUCUCUGCCACAUCCUCUUCCUUCUCAGCUGCAGGUUCCCCCUAAGUUGAGUGGUCAAAGAGUGGGGUGUAAGAUUUUUCAAAGCAGCCCUGACCACUGUCAUAUAGGGUCUUGGAAAGUGAGAGAGAUGAAGCCUGGUCCCCAAGAUUCCUUCCUCAACUGUCCUCCUCACUCAGGCUUUUUAUAGCUCAGGAAGCCCUUUCUAGACAACCAAGCCUUACACAGCCAACCUAUGGGGUAUUCCCCCUGUUUAGCAGUAAAAGGUGGAGAUUUCCCUGAGCUCUGACUGGGGCGGAACAGUUAGCAGGAACCCUGGGUCAGCAAGCUGCCAGCAAGGGUGUUUGAUAUGUUUGGUGGGGUGCCAAGAGCUGUGUUAGGGUGAGAAGACUAUUCUGGGGUCUCUCAUCCCAUAAAGAAGAGGAAAGACAAAAGGAAGAGGCUUUCACCUUUAGCUUCACAGCCCACCACCAGCAAAGUAGGGAUCAAGAGGGGGUGUCCACAGAGCCUGAUACGGAAGCUGAGAUGCCUCCAGUAGCCCUAAAACAGCCACUUGCAGUCCCUGAGCUACUGCUAUUCAGUGCAGUCCCUGAAGCCCACAUAUUUGCAUAUCUGAGAACAAAAAUAAUUCUGCUGCCGGCUUAGCACCACCAAGGCUGCAGCCCCCUUUUGUCUGUUUGAAUAAGAGCUGGCUAAGGGCGGAAGGAUAAUUAGUCCCCUGUGUGCAGUGUCCCCCAUACCCCCCUUGAAGAUUUAAAGACGCAGUCUAAAUACUCUGUGCUAUACUCCCACAGCUGGCUGACUACGGGAUGUCUGCAUCGGCAGGAGCCGAUAAAUGGGCAUUUUAUCUGAUUAAACUGGGAGUGAACUGGC